RNAcentral lists this ribosomal RNA (398 nucleotides) under uncultured bacterium. Its description in RNAcentral is "bacterial SSU rRNA". It matches the Rfam family "Bacterial small subunit ribosomal RNA", at positions 358 to 773 of the family's 1533-position model. The record is from RNAcentral.
GGAAUAUUGGACAAUGGGCGCAAGCCUGAUCCAGCCAUGCCGCGUGAGUGAUGAAGGCCCUAGGGUUGUAAAGCUCUUUCACCGGUGAAGAUAGUGACGGUAACCGGAGAAGAAGCCCCGGCUAACUUCGUGCCAGCAGCCGCGGUAAUACGAAGGGGGCUAGCGUUGUUCGGAAUCACUGGGCGUAAAGCGCACGUAGGCGGAUGUGCCAGUCAGGGGUGAAAUCCCGGAGCUCAACUUCGGAACUGCCUCUGAUACAGCACGUCUUGAGUCCGGAAGAGGUGGGUAGAAUUCCUAGUGUAGAGGUGAAAUUCGUAGAUAUUAGGAAGAACACCGGUGGCGAAGGCGGCCCACUGGUCCGGUACUGACGCUGAGGUGCGAAAGCGUGGGGAGCAAAC